AACGCACAUUGCGCCCCUUGGUAUUCCGAAGGGCAUGCCUGUUCGAGCGUCAUUAUCACCCCUCAAGCCUAGCUUGGUGUUGGACGUUAGUGAGUCUUCUCACUCGUCCCAAAGAUAAUGACGGUGGUCGUGGACGACACCAGUACACUGAGCCUUUUGGCACGUAUUGAUCGAGUCUCGAUUCCCGGUCUUUAACCACAAAUUUUUCUAAGGUUGACCUCGGAUCAGGUAGGGAUACCCGCUGAACUUAA
This 251-nucleotide unclassified non-coding RNA is filed under the name uncultured fungus. RNAcentral describes it as "partial contains 5.8S ribosomal RNA, internal transcribed spacer 2, and large subunit ribosomal RNA". Lineage: Eukaryota; Fungi. The record is from RNAcentral.